This 3384-nucleotide long non-coding RNA is filed under the name Cairina moschata (Muscovy duck). RNAcentral describes it as "domestica (muscovy Duck (domestic type)) lncRNA (ENSCMMG00000009090.1)". Lineage: Eukaryota; Metazoa; Chordata; Aves; Anseriformes; Anatidae. The record is from RNAcentral.
GAAAUACUGAUUUUGAUUAUUAUGUUACUAAGAUGCAAUGUUUGAAACAAUUGUAUGUAGAAAAUAAUUUUUACUUUUCUCAGGCCACUGUCCCAGGCAGAUGCAACCUUCUUACACCAAGAUGUUAUACCAUGGUGGAUGCAUCCUUCAGUGCGGCAGAGAAAUGGAAUCAGUGGUUGAGUGAGGUGCAAUGCAUGCAAAACAGAAAGCAUCUGCAAGGAAUAUCAGAGGAACUGCUUCUCUUCCAAAAACCUCCACAUAACCAUCUGGCUAAUUGCGUUCCGUGGUGUAAAGAUUAUCUUUGCUCAUGCCCUGUGAUGGGAGAGAGCUCCUCUGCGCAGCCAGGCCUGGAUAAUUAGCUCGAAAAGGAUCACAUGCUAGAACCGAGGUGCCAAAUUGUGCUGCGUUGUCUCUCUUAGGGAGCACCUCACUGAUGGGGUUCCCUGCUCGGGCGGCCCUACUGACAGAGCGAGUUAUGUUUUGGUUUAGCAGCCCCUAACGAGGACCGGAUUUCGCUCCUCUCGCCCUUGUUGGAAGUUACUCACGCACAUGAGUAAUCCUGGGGAGCUGAAUGGGAACUAUUCACCCAGGAGAGCCCGCCCGGCAUUGACUUCAAUGGGAUUUUUGACCGAAUGGAGGAUGACAGGAUCUGUUACAAGCUCAGGGCUGCCUGUGGGUAGCUGCCUUUCUCACGGCGCUGGUCCUGCGUAAAUUAGGCAGGGCUUCUCCCAGGCUGUAUAAACUUCACAGCAUCCAUCGUGUGUCUUGUACCACAAAACUGGGGCAUAUCUGGGCAGAGGAGGGUUUGUUUUAUGGCUGUUUUUAGGUAGAUGCUGGCAGUAUAAUCCCAAUAGCUUCCCUCUAGGCGCUGUACAACCCCCUGGGGUCCAUAGUAUGAGGCUAAGAGCUCUCCUUACAGCCCCCUUGGAAGAGAUGCUGCUGGUGCCGCUAAAUUAAGGGAGCUUGAAGCUUUGCCUGGGAACUGGAGAAUGUGGAUAAAGUCCCGUGUUGUCAAACUAAUCCUCAUAAAGAAGAGAGAAGACUGCAGAUGAGUCGAUGACAUGUAAACAGAGGAGAUAUGGACGGGAUGAUUACGGCUGCCAAUAUGCAGUGACUUGUGAAAUGCGAGCAUUUAUGUCCCUGUUUGCAUAACCACAUAUUUAUUGUAAACAGCAGCACCCACUAUUAAAAUAACAAAACAACAACAACAAAAAACAAAAACAGGAAGUCCCAUUGCUGCUUGGUUUUUGUUUUGUUUUGUUUUUUUUUUUUCUCAAGAUUAUUUGCUGCUUUCGCCUACAGGAGUUGCACGAGGAGCUGAUGUGGGAGAGAUGAGAAUGGCUGCCUCCAUACCCAACUGCAGUAAAAUUCACCACAUUUCAUUUUUGUGCAGAAUCACUGUUUUUUGGUUGGUUGUUUUCCUGUACGGUUUUAAUGCAAUUUUAUUACAUUAUCGUCUUUUAUGGAAAAAGAAAAGGAUUUGUUCCCUAAUAGGAAAACAAAGUUUAUGGGUUCAAAUAAAGCAGAUAGGAGCCAGAACACAAUGCCUCUAGCAGCUGAACUCGGAGGUAUUUCAUGUUGGUAAACCUCAUCAGGAUCCUGAAUGUUCUGUGCUGGCUGGCUGCAGUGACUUGGAUUUUUACAUGGUUACAGUUUUUAAAAGGACACUGGGCUGACAGAUUUUUAGAAGUGAUGAACGAGAAUUAGAAGAGCAAAGUGUUGUUUUUUAUAAAAAAAAAAAAAGAAGUGAUUAAAAACCAUACAUCAUGAAAACGAGUUGUAUUGUCUCAGCUAUUGUAACAACCAGUUCUCACUGGUCCCUUUUUCCUGUAAUUAAAGCCAUUUUCUUUCCCCUUUCUGGCCUCUUCCUGGCCCAGUGUUCCAGCAACAAGCAGCCAAAAUGUGAGAUUUUUUUGUAAAGGCGAGCAGUAGGAAGAGCAGGUAGACCUGCUUGUCUUUCAGCACCCAUUUCCAGGGACCAUCGUGGAGAUCUUUGCUUUCUUUACAUGUAGUAGCUGCAGUGCAAAGCCCAGUUUUCCUGCUUCUGAUGCGCAGGUCUAUUUUUAUCCCAUAUAUGCCCAUAUAAAUCCCAUAUGUGUGUGCAUGGCACGCACAGAGCUCGGUAACAGCCGGUAGUUUCCCCAUUUCCCAUGUUUCUCCUUCAAUUAAACUUUGUCACUUCCGUAUGUUGGUGAAAUCCGUGUUUUCCCAUGUCAGUGUGGCUGACUCCCUUGCUAAUUAAAACCCUGUCAUCAGCCUCUUCCUUUCCUUCUUUCAUUUAGCGUAAUGGCCAAAGCAUUUCUCUUUGCCAGACUGAUCAUGCCGGCUAUUUCUUUCCUCUUUCUUCAUUCCUCCAUGGUUAAGUCAGAUGCAAACUCCUAAUCUGUAGAGACACCCGUAAUCACAGGCUGAUUCUUAAUUUCCUACUUUCGUGGGUUCAUUAUAUUGCUGCUGUUCCUGAAGCAUGGGGGAAGGACUGCAGCACUUUCCCAACCAGUCAGCUCUAGGACUUCUGGAGCUGAUUUUUUUAAUUAUUUUUUUACUUUUUUUUUACUUUUCUUCUGGAGCCAGGCAGCUGUAGGUCAUACCUUAUAUUCCCCUAUGUUCCACAUAUUCACACUUCUCUAAAGACCAGUAUCUUGGUAGUACAUUAUUAUUAAGAGGUCUUGACAAAAAGGCUAAAAAAUCAAUUUUAAUGCAUUAUUAUCAGAUUACUCUGAUUUAAUAUUGUCACUGCUCAAAGUAACCAAGUUUAAAACCAUAAACAGUGAAUAUCUGCUGUAGAAGACAACUUCUUUGCCACUGCCAUUUAUUAAUUGUUUAAUCCCUGCUAUUUUCUGGUUGUUGUUUUGUUGGUGGUGGUUUGGUUUGGUUUGGUUUGGUUUUCUUUUCUGAUAGCAUUCUGGAAAUGUAGGACUUCACUGCAAAUAGCAAGGCAACAAAAGGAUGUUCUCUGGAAAAAAGUCAGCAUGAUGUUCAGUGUCAUUGACGUGGUCAGUAGGAUUUUAGGAAUUACUAGAAAAGGGAAAAAGGCCAAAGAAAUGAAGAAUCAUCGUGCCAUUCCAUCCACUGGUGGCAUCCCCCUGUCUGAAUGCUACUUAUGUUUCUUGUUCUCGGCACCUCAAAGAAAGAUAACUGUAGGGACAGAGGUAGAAGAUGAUCAGAGGCUUCUGUACAAGAAAAAUAACGAGACUUUCAGGUCAGAGAAGAAGAAAAGCUCUCUCAAGAGCUGCUAAAGUCAAUAUGCAGAAAUAACCUUAGAUGAAGAAAUGGCUCAUCUAUAGGUUACCAAAAUCUAGGUGGCAGACUGGCCAUCUCUUGUGAAGAGCCUGACAAAAUGGAGCCCUGUGCAGAGGGGCCAUGGUUUCCCCAGCUAAAAGUGCC